GUGCUCGCUUCAGCAGCACAUAUACUAACAUUGAAACGAUACAGAAAUUAGCAUGGGCCCUGCACAAAGAUGACACGCAAAUUCGUGAAGUAUUCCAUAUUUUU
This 104-nucleotide small nuclear RNA is filed under the name Myotis davidii. The record is from RNAcentral. Lineage: Eukaryota; Metazoa; Chordata; Mammalia; Chiroptera; Vespertilionidae.